Molecule: ribosomal RNA, 253 nt
Filed under: uncultured bacterium
Lineage: Bacteria
Description: partial 16S ribosomal RNA
Rfam family: Bacterial small subunit ribosomal RNA
Source: RNAcentral
GACGAACCGUGCGAACGUUGUUCGGAUUCACUGGGCUUAAAGGGCGCGUAGGCGGCUUGCCAAGUCAGGGGUGAAAUCUUUCGGCUUAACCGGAAAAGUGCUUCUGAUACUGGCAGGCUGGAGGGAGGUAGGGGCAGAUGGAACUUCCGGUGGAGCGGUGAAAUGCGUAGAUAUCGGAAGGAACGCCGGUGGCGAAAGCGAUCUGCUGGACCUCUUCUGACGCUGAUGCGCGAAAGCCAGGGGAGCAAACGGG